UACAGAGGUGGCAAGCGUUGUUCGGAAUUACUGGGCGUAAAGGGCGCGUAGGCGGCCAUCUAAGUCAGACGUGAAAUCCCCCGGCUUAACCUGGGAACUGCGUCUGAUACUGGAAGGCUUGAGUAUGGGAGAGGGAUGUAGAAUUCCAGGUGUAGCGGUGAAAUGCGUAGAGAUGCGGAGGAACACCGAUGGCGAAGGCAGCCCCCUGGGCUAGCACUGACGCUCAGGCACGAAAGCGUGGGGAGCAAACAGG
Molecule: ribosomal RNA, 253 nt
Filed under: uncultured bacterium
Lineage: Bacteria
Description: partial 16S ribosomal RNA
Rfam family: Bacterial small subunit ribosomal RNA
Source: RNAcentral